AACAAUUCACAAACACGGGAAACCCACCGAGCCCGAAGCUCAUAUCACAUUUCAUUUCAUUUUCUUAUUUAAUCACAUAGACAGGCUCGUAGUUCGCCAUAACCACCUGAUGAUGAGAACCAACCUGCACUUCAAGUUUGAUCCCCAGCAUACAAUAUCCGUACCACCGUGUCCCUUCAAAGUGAUGAUCACCUAUCUCGAACUAACUAAAUUACAAUCACUAAUCACGCAACGAGUGAUCAAUCAUUCAUGCUGGUUUUUUCGCUAAUGUUUCCUUAUUCUGAAUUCAAUCAAUUCAUGGAUAUAACUUAAUGUAUAAACCAAAACGUUUCCAUACUCCGUAACACGAAGCAACCUGAAUAGAUCUAGACUCGACACACUAAAAACAAUGUAUAAACGCAGAAAUAAGCCUAGAUCUACUCCUCACCUUGACCAUUGUGCAGAUAUGGAUCAAAGCGGACGAGUAACAAAGGUAUCGAGCAAAAAAUAAGAAAGCUGUCGGUGACUUUUUCUCUUUCCGGCGGUGGUGACGCAGCGCACAGCAGUGGCGGUGGCGACGGCAGUGGACAGCAGCGGCUGGUCAAACUGCGGCUGGCGGCAGCGACUGGUCGGUGAUAGAAGCUCUCUCAUGUCUCAGAAAUCUCUCUCUCUCUCUCUCUCUCUCUCUCUCUCUCUCUCUGGGUGGCUGCAAAUGAGAAU
RNAcentral lists this long non-coding RNA (699 nucleotides) under Eutrema salsugineum. Its description in RNAcentral is "long non-coding RNA (ESAL_LNC000896)". The record is from RNAcentral. Lineage: Eukaryota; Viridiplantae; Streptophyta; Magnoliopsida; Brassicales; Brassicaceae.